Equus caballus (horse) is the source of this 393-nucleotide long non-coding RNA. RefSeq lists it as uncharacterized. Lineage: Eukaryota; Metazoa; Chordata; Mammalia; Perissodactyla; Equidae. The record is from RefSeq and is a predicted model, not a curated record.
CAUUCGGGCCGCGCGCGGCGCAGCCCCCAGGUGCAGAGCGCGAAGAGCCCGGGGAAGAAGAGUGCGCCCCAGGUCAGCGUCAGCAGCAUGGGUGCGCGGGGGUCGGCGCCUCGCUCGGCGCCCUCGGCGUGGCACAGGCCAGAGAUGGCUUUUCUAUGCCCUGCCAACUGCUGCAAUUUCUCCAGAGGGGGGUCGCUCUGAAAAACAUUAAAUCCUGCCGCAGAAUCCUCUCUCCAUCUACACAUCGAGGUGGAAUAUCAAGUCUGAAGACUUUCUGUGCUACUGCGUCUCGGCUUUGGGUCAAGAUACUAUCCAGAGUCUUGGUGACUAUUUUGUUGUUGUCGACAACGUGUUCUUAUUUAAAACUUAUUGGGCCAUGUGCCCUAAAAUUGA